AAGUCGUAACAAGGUUUCCGUAGGUGAACCUGCGGAAGGAUCAUUAACAAAUUCAUCCACACACUGACGUCCCACUCGUGACGUGCCCGCCCGUGUGCCGUCGUCGUCGUCCUCCCCUCCCCUCGCCCCCCUUCUCCGCAAGGAGUGGGGGUGGCGGGAUGUGAGGCACGCACGCACCCAGGCAGGCGAUCCGAUCGAGUGGUGUACUCAACCACACACACACACUUUACAUGAUUGACAACACCUAGUGAUAUCUAGUUAACUGUAGACAACUUUUAACAAUGGAUCUCUUGGCUCUU
RNAcentral lists this unclassified non-coding RNA (299 nucleotides) under fungal sp. RNAcentral's name for it is "partial internal transcribed spacer region". The stretch from base 1 to 46 matches the Rfam family "Eukaryotic small subunit ribosomal RNA", at positions 1786 to 1831 of the family's 1831-position model. Lineage: Eukaryota; Fungi. The record is from RNAcentral.